Molecule: non-coding RNA, 77 nt
Organism: Potamilus streckersoni
Lineage: Eukaryota; Metazoa; Mollusca; Bivalvia; Unionida; Unionidae
Source: the annotation of a GenBank genome assembly
GACCGUUCCGGUGGUCUAGUGGUUAGAGCGACCACCUCAGAUGCGGAAGGUCGUGGGUUCGAUUCCCAGUUGAGUCA